This 82-nucleotide transfer RNA is filed under the name Araneus ventricosus. It matches the Rfam family "tRNA". From Rfam's summary of the family: Transfer RNA (tRNA) molecules are approximately 80 nucleotides in length. Their secondary structure includes four short double-helical elements and three loops (D, anti-codon, and T loops). Further hydrogen bonds mediate the characteristic L-shaped molecular structure. tRNAs have two regions of fundamental functional importance: the anti-codon, which is responsible for specific mRNA codon recognition, and the 3' end, to which the tRNAs corresponding amino acid is attached (by aminoacyl-tRNA synthetases). tRNAs cope with the degeneracy of the genetic code in two manners: having more than one tRNA (with a specific anti-codon) for a particular amino acid; and 'wobble' base-pairing, i.e. permitting non-standard base-pairing at the 3rd anti-codon position. Lineage: Eukaryota; Metazoa; Arthropoda; Arachnida; Araneae; Araneidae. The record is from Rfam by way of RNAcentral.
GCAGUUUUGGCGCAGUGGUUAAGGCUAUGGACUCGAAAUCCAUUGGGGUUUCUCCUCGUAGGUUCGAAUCCUGAAGGCUGCG